CCAUGGUACAACAGCUACAACUACCACUACAUGGAAGGUGAAAGCCUAAGGUUGAUGUACGAGCCAUGGUUCGUGAAGUACAAAGUUGAUGUUGUGUUUGCAGGGCAUGUCCAUGCCUACGAAUGGACACAUAGGAUAUCAAAUGUCGCAUACAACAUUGUAAAUGGCUUGUGCUCCCCUGUCCCAGACUAGUCUUCGCCGGUCUACAUAACCAUUGGGGAUGGGGCUGGCCACCAACAUGUCGGAGCUGCAACCAAGCUACUCGGCGUUUAGGGAGACGAGCUUCGGGCACGCCAUACUGGACAUCAAUAACCACGGAAGGAUGAACACACGGCCAGGGUGGCUGACCUGGUGAGCGAGUGACUCUCGCUACAGAGAACAAAUCCUCAAUUUUUGAAAAGUUUUUAUUUCAGUACAGAGAACAAAUCCUCAGUUUUCAUUUCAGUAGAUAGAACAAAUCCUCAGUUUUCAUUUGCAGUUUUCAUUUCAGCACAGAGAACAAAUCCUCAGUUUUUAUUUCAGUACAUGGAUUGCUUAUACAGACUCAUGGGCUUGGCAAACUCUCAUCACUAGAUGAUGUUGCACAAAAUAGAUGUGGAUCUCGAAAUUUCAUUUCCACCAAAGAGUACAUUGAAAAGACAUUUGUGCUUGAACAAGAAACAACCAUGAGCACUUACAAGUGCAUGAAAGUAGGAGUUAAACAACGCAUUUUUUUUUAUACCAAUGCUGGACUUCCUGUCCGAAGACCUUCAAGGCGACUGGAUGGAAGACAGUGUUCAUGUGAAUCAAUCUUCCCCAUCUACAGAAAAUGGUGGCACUCCAUUUAUGGCAUCAUCUCGUGCCGAAGAGCAAAGUGAUACUCCCCCAUCAGUCUAGAUUCAUACAGCUCGAGCAUGGGAGGAGUCACCUAUCUUAGAUGAAUAAUAAGCAUGAAUAUAGCUGGUACGCAUGUAGCUACCAUGCUUGAGUUUGACUUUCCUUUGUGAGCAGUUAUGAACUUGGGUGUUUCUACAUUUGCUUUAUCUCCUCUAGUUGCCAAAACAAGUGGCUGUUAUGCAUACAGUACGUGUCAUUAUGGAUCACUGUGUGAUUUGUUCAAUGCGAAAAAGGUAUUGAA
Molecule: non-coding RNA, 1117 nt
Organism: Lolium perenne
Lineage: Eukaryota; Viridiplantae; Streptophyta; Magnoliopsida; Poales; Poaceae
Source: RefSeq, a predicted model, not a curated record